CUAGUCCGUGGUUGGGGUCGAGAAACAUGACGUGGAGGUUUGUCAGCUAAUCAAAUACGAAAAGUAAAUGCACUACACAUUGACCCCAACUGACCGAUGGGAAAUGUAUCCCAUUACUCUGUUCAUACUUUACUUUUUCGACUGACUGACAAAGGAAUUUUUAUGGUUCUCUGUUUGAUUACUGUUAGUCGCUAUAGGAAUAUGAACGAAUCUGAUACAAUUAAUACGAUGUUUUGCAUGCAAGACAAAAUAAAAAGGUGGAAAACAGGAAUUCUGUCGGGCUUCGGAGCGGAUGGGUCGCCGUAUGUGGAAGGAG
Molecule: long non-coding RNA, 316 nt
Filed under: Androctonus crassicauda
Lineage: Eukaryota; Metazoa; Arthropoda; Arachnida; Scorpiones; Buthidae
Source: RNAcentral